This 76-nucleotide transfer RNA is filed under the name Allolucifera butyrica. Its description in RNAcentral is "Lucifera butyrica tRNA". It matches the Rfam family "tRNA". Rfam says of the family: Transfer RNA (tRNA) molecules are approximately 80 nucleotides in length. Their secondary structure includes four short double-helical elements and three loops (D, anti-codon, and T loops). Lineage: Bacteria; Bacillati; Bacillota; Negativicutes; Veillonellales; Veillonellaceae. The record is from RNAcentral.
GCCGGUAUAGCUCAGCUGGUAGAGCAGCUCAUUCGUAAUGAGCAGGUCGCGGGUUCGAGUCCCAUUACCGGCUCCA